AAAGAAAUCGUUAAGGGCGUAUGGCGGAUGCCUAGGCUUUCAGAGGCGAAGAAGGACGCGGUAAGCUGCGAAAAGCUGCGGGGAUCGGCACACACGAAUUGAUCCGCAGAUGUCCGAAUGGGGCAACCCGGCAUGUUGAAGACAUGUCACUCUAAUUUAUUAGAGAGCAAACCAGGAGAACUGAAACAUCUAAGUACCCUGAGGAAAAGAAAUCGAAGAGAUUCCGUAAGUAGCGGCGAGCGAAAGCGGAUUAGCCCAAAAGUCUUUAUAUGUUUAAUAGAAUGUUCUGGAAAGAACAGCCAUAGAGGGUGAUAGCCCCGUAAAUGAAAGGCAUAUUUGGAUGAUAAAUGAGUAGGGCGGGACACGUGAAAUCCUGUCUGAAUAUGGGGGGACCAUCCUCCAAGGCUAAAUACUCCUGAAAGACCGAUAGUGAACAAGUACUGUGAAGGAAAGGUGAAAAGCACUUCGAAUAGAAGGGUGAAAUAGAACCUGAAACCGUACGCCUACAAGCGGUCGGAGCCCACAAGUUGGGUGACGGCGUGCCUUUUGCAUAAUGAGCCUACGAGUUAAUUUUGCUAGCGAGGUUAAGGACUUAAGGUCCGGAGCCGGAGCGAAAGCGAGUCUGAAUAGGGCGCUUAGUUAGCAGGAUUAGACGCGAAACCUUGUGAUCUACCCAUGGGCAGGUUGAAGCUCUGGUAACACAGAGUGGAGGACCGAACCGGUUGACGUUGAAAAGUCUUCGGAUGACCUGUGGGUAGGGGUGAAAGGCCAAUCAAACUGGGAGAUAGCUCGUACUCUCCGAAAUGCAUUUAGGUGCAGCGUCGUAUAUAAGUUUAUUAGAGGUAGAGCUACUGAUUGGAUGCGGGGGUUUCAUCGCCUACCAAUUCCUGACAAACUCCGAAUGCUAAUAAAUGUUCUACGGCAGUGAGGGCAUGGGUGCUAAGGUCCAUGUCCGAGAGGGAAAGAACCCAGACCAACAGCUAAGGUCCCCAAAUCUCUAUUAAGUUGAAGCAACGCGGUUGGACUGCAUUGACAGCUAGGAUGUUGGCUUGGAAGCAGCCAUUCAUUUAAAGAGUGCGUAACAGCUCACUAGUCGAGCGGUCCGGCAUGGAUAAUAAUCGGGCAUAAAUAGAGUACCGAAGCUAUGGAUUUGUAUCUUAGGGAUACAUCUGGUAGGAGAGCAUUCUGUUUGCAC
This 1195-nucleotide ribosomal RNA is filed under the name Chryseobacterium pyrolae. RNAcentral describes it as "partial 23S ribosomal RNA". It matches the Rfam family "Bacterial large subunit ribosomal RNA", at positions 1 to 1250 of the family's 2925-position model. The record is from RNAcentral. Lineage: Bacteria; Pseudomonadati; Bacteroidota; Flavobacteriia; Flavobacteriales; Weeksellaceae.